GUUCAAGUCCAUUAAAGAGAUGUUAGAUGAUUGCAUCACAUUCCUCAAAGAGAGAGGCCUUAUUUCUUCCAUCUAAGAUACAACAUUUCUGCAUAAAAGCUCUGUAAUGAACCUUGGAUGUUUUAUUUUACGUAUCUCAUGGACAGCAAAAGGAAAAGGAACAUAUUGUUGUAUUCACUACCCGGUAAUAAGAAUUAAAUGGGAACACUUCAUCCAAAUUUACCACGAAAUAUAACAUUUGAUUGUGAUCGAGCCUAUGCGUCAAUUACUUAGGCUGAUUUCUAGCUGGAAAAAUCUUUUGAAGAGCCAAGAUUUCACUUUCUCUACUUCUUUUUCUUCUCAGUAUUUUCUCUUUGAUCAGGCAAAGCCUCAUACACAGGCAAUGCCAAUGAAUCCGAAACUUCAAAUGAAAAGCUCUAACACCGCCCAAUUAACUUACUUUUUCACUUAAUUUUUUUUGUUAUAACUCAUUUUGCUGCAACUUUAAUAUAAUUUAUAUCGU
Long non-coding RNA from Lycium ferocissimum, 502 nucleotides. RefSeq lists it as uncharacterized. The record is from RefSeq and is a predicted model, not a curated record. NCBI's taxonomy places the organism in Eukaryota, Viridiplantae, Streptophyta, Magnoliopsida, Solanales, Solanaceae. The transcript is spliced from 2 exons.